Molecule: ribosomal RNA, 247 nt
Filed under: uncultured Actinomycetes bacterium
Lineage: Bacteria; Bacillati; Actinomycetota; Actinomycetes
Description: uncultured actinobacterium partial 16S ribosomal RNA
Rfam family: Bacterial small subunit ribosomal RNA
Source: RNAcentral
GACGAACGCUGGCGGCGUGCUUAACACAUGCAAGUCGAGCGGUAAGGCCCUUUCGGGGGUACACGAGCGGCGAACGGGUGAGUAACACGUGGGUGACCUGCCCUUAGCUCUGGGAUAAGCCUGGGAAACUGGGUCUAAUACCGGAUAUGACUCCAUGACGCAUGUUGUGGGGUGGAAAGCCUUGUGUGGCUAGAGAUGGGCCCGCGGCCUAUCAGCUUGUUGGUGGGGUGAUGGCCUACCAAGGCGA